UCCUACGGGAGGCAGCAGUAGGGAAUAUUGCGCAAUGGAGGAAACUCUGACGCAGCGACGCCGCGUGGGUGAUGAAGGCCUUCGGGUUGUAAAGCCCUGUCGGAGGGGACGAAACACGAUAUAGCUAAUAUCUAUAUCGCUUGACGGUACCCUCAAAGGAAGCACCGGCUAACUACGUGCCAGCAGCCGCGGUAAUACGUAGGGUGCUAGCGUUGUUCGGAAUCAUUGGGCGUAAAGCGCGUGCAGGUGGCAAGUUAAGUUGGAUGUGAAAUCCCUAGGCUCAACCAAGGAAGUGCAUUCAAAACUAACUAGCUUGAAGAUGGUAGAGGAAGGUGGAAUUCCAGGUGGAGAGGUGAAAUUCGUAGAGAUCUGGAGGAAUAUCGGAGGCGAAGGCGACCUUCUGGGCCAUUCUUGACACUGAGACGCGAAAGCGUGGGUAGCAAACAGGAUUAGAUACCCUGGUAGUCC
This 468-nucleotide ribosomal RNA is filed under the name uncultured bacterium. Its description in RNAcentral is "bacterial SSU rRNA". It matches the Rfam family "Bacterial small subunit ribosomal RNA", at positions 337 to 796 of the family's 1533-position model. The record is from RNAcentral.